CGAUGGUAUGCAGCACUCUGACCAGCCAUGCCGCGUGCAGGAAGACGGCCCUAUGGGUUGUAAACUGCUUUUGUACCAGAGAAAACCCUCUUACGUGUAGGAGGUUGAUAGUAUGGUAAGAAUAAGCAUCGGCUAACUUCGUGCCAGCAGCCGCGGUAAU
This 160-nucleotide ribosomal RNA is filed under the name uncultured freshwater bacterium. Its description in RNAcentral is "partial 16S ribosomal RNA". It matches the Rfam family "Bacterial small subunit ribosomal RNA", at positions 339 to 524 of the family's 1533-position model. The record is from RNAcentral.